Molecule: long non-coding RNA, 1666 nt
Organism: Raphanus sativus (radish)
Lineage: Eukaryota; Viridiplantae; Streptophyta; Magnoliopsida; Brassicales; Brassicaceae
Exons: 6
Source: RefSeq, a predicted model, not a curated record
UCCUCCCUUUGUCGUUUACACUUCUGCAAGGGAGAGGGAGAGUCGAUCAAUCGACACACGACUCCAUCACUCUGCAAUCAAUCCUUGGGAGCUCUAAUUUAUGGUUUCUUUUCGCCUUUUUCCCUCAAAGUUUAUUUGGUUUCCACUUCUAACAUUCUCUCGCAUUUAAUCAAUCUCAUCAUCUUCCAAAGCUGUUUCCUCUUUUUUUUUUCAUUACUAUAAUCGAAACAGAACAGAAACCCCAGUUGAUGUCUUCAUCCCUUUACUAUAACAAGCAAACCCUUUUCUUCUUCCCUCAAAUCAAUUCUUUCUCUAGCUUUCUGAGGAAAGAGUUUGAAUUUAUCGAUGUGUUUGAUAAUGGAAGCGGUGGAUGAUCACAUCGACGACGGUGGUGUUUUAGUUGCGCCGUCUAAUUUUUCGAAUUUUGGUUUCCUCUCAACCCUCAAUCUUCGUUCCAUCAUGUAAAGUCGAUUCCUUUAUUCAUACUCUCAAUUAGGGAUGAACAACGCUACCACUACGGAAUCGGAAAGAACAAACUCUUUAUAGUUACCAGCUCCAACAAUGGCGUCACAUGUCAGGGAGGGCUAGGCUAUCUCUCUUUGGAAACCCCUUGCAGCAACAUGUCAGCCAUAAAAGCUUUCUUAAGGUUCACACAGCCAACGUAGAGGAGAGCCGGGUGCCGCAAGAACUGCAAGUCAGACUGUGCGAAGAGAUGUUCUUGCUGGUGACGCAGCUUCAGAAUCCCAAGGAAUAACUCUCAGCAACGGGUCUUCUCGAAGACAAUACCUUGACGGAGCUAAUAUUACUUUCCUUCCGAGGCCACUAAAGCUAUUAUUUCUCUGCAUCUCUUCCUAUUUGAUUUUUAAGUUUCCAUUUUAGAUGUCUGAAUCUCUGUUGAUAUUUGGUUAUAAUAUGAAACUGGAUUUGAAAUACGUUAUGUUUCUAAGUUCUUAGAUGUCUGAAUCUCUUUAUUCUCGGUUUUUAGUGUCUUAGUCUUUUUUUUUCCAAUCAGUAUGAACGAAUGUCAGUAGUUGUAAGGGAUGAGGAAGGGCAGAUUCUUCUACUGUGCAAAGGAGCUGACAGUAUCAUCUUUGAACGGUUGGCUAAGAAUGGGAAGACAUACUUGGGACCAACCACAAACCAAAAAAAAAGAAUACGGAGAAGCUGGUCUCCGUACACUUGCACUUGCUUAGAGGAAGCUUGGUGAGGAAGAAUAUUCAGCUUGGAACUCUGAGUUUCAAAAGGCAAAAACUUCAAUAGGAUCUGACAGAGAUGAGGUGCGCUUGAGACAGGAGCUGAUAUGAUUGAAAAAGAUCUUAUUCUUAUAGGUGCUACUGCUGUGGAGGACACUCCAGAAAGGGGUCCCUCAAUGCAUAGAUAAACUUGCUCAAGCUGGGCUGCUUCAGAUACCAAGACUGUUAUUGUGUAGAUGCAGAGACAUCGACCAAGGCCAAGAAGAUAGAACGAGAGUGAUAAAUGCAAAUUCUGAAAGCUUUUUUUUUUGUCAGCUUCUGAAAGCUAAUUAACGUGUUUGAGUAUUACCAUGUUAUUUGUUUGCAAAGAUUGUUUCACACAAUGAGAUUUUGCUACCUUACCGUGAUGUGUACUUGUGUUAGCGUUGUAUAGAUGUUUUUGGUACUUAAACUAUGGAGUUUAACUACUUAAA